AGAGUUUGAUCAUGGCUCAGAGCGAACGUUAGCGGCGGUAACACAUGCAAGUCGAACGAGAAUGAGGGGGCAACUCCUCUAGUAAAGUGGCGGACGGGUGCGUAACACGUGGAUAAUCUACCUUCCGGCGGGGGACAACAGUUCGAAAGGACUGCUAAUACCGCGUACGUCGGCGAGGGCUCAGGCCCUUGUCGAGAAAGAUGGCCUCUCCUUGGAAGCUGUCACCGGAAGAUGAAUCCGCGGCCCAUCAGGUAGUUGGUGAGGUAACGGCUCACCAAGCCAAAGACGGGUAGCUGGUCUGAGAGGAUGAUCAGCCACACUGGGACUGCGACACGGCCCAGACUCCUACGGGAGGCAGCAGUGGGGAAUAUUGGGCAAUGGGCGAAAGCCUGACCCAGCCACGCCGCGUGAGUGAUGAAGGCCUUCGGGUCGUAAAGCUCUGUGGGGAGGGACGAAAAAGCGCGUCUCCAAUAAAGGCGUGCCCUGACGGUACCUCCUUAGCAAGCACCGGCUAACCAUGUGCCAGCAGCCGCGGUAAUACAUGGGGUGCAAACGUUGCUCGGAAUUAUUGGGCGUAAAGCGCGCGUAGGCGGUUGUUUAAGUCGGAUGUGAAAGCCCUUGGCUUAACUGAGGAAGUGCAUCCGAGACUGAAUAGCUAGAGUACGAAAGAGGGUCGCGGAAUUCCCGGUGUAGAGGUGAAAUUCGUAGAUAUCGGGAGGAACACCGGCGGCGAAGGCGGCGACCUGGUUCGAGACUGACGCUGAGGCGCGAAAGCGUGGGGACAAACAGGAUUAGAUACCCUAGUAGUCC
This 810-nucleotide ribosomal RNA is filed under the name uncultured bacterium. RNAcentral's name for it is "bacterial SSU rRNA". It matches the Rfam family "Bacterial small subunit ribosomal RNA", at positions 8 to 796 of the family's 1533-position model. The record is from RNAcentral.